This is a long non-coding RNA of Myotis brandtii (Brandt's bat), 305 nucleotides long. RefSeq lists it as uncharacterized. The record is from RefSeq and is a predicted model, not a curated record. The transcript has 2 exons. NCBI's taxonomy places the organism in Eukaryota, Metazoa, Chordata, Mammalia, Chiroptera, Vespertilionidae.
CAUAGCUACUGGUCGGCCGGUCACUUAGGCUUUUAUAUAUAUGCUUUAUACCUCCUACCGAUUUAUAUCUUCUAGAUUCAGUUUAUUUACUGUCGUUGGUAGUGGUUGGAGGUGGGGUGGGAGAGACUGUUUGCUAACUCCUCGAAUAAGCUUGGUUUCCUUCCAGUAGUGAGGUGCCAAAGUUUUGUGUUUAGUCCAUGUAUGAAUGUAUCCUGGUAGAAAUGGAAGUGUUUUCCUUGUUGCAGAAACAGUGUGCAUCCAUUUACAGAUGUGUUUGUAGAGCCUGAAGGUGACAUCAAUUGUGA